Molecule: ribosomal RNA, 513 nt
Filed under: uncultured bacterium
Lineage: Bacteria
Description: partial 16S ribosomal RNA
Rfam family: Bacterial small subunit ribosomal RNA
Source: RNAcentral
GACGAACGCUGGCGGCAUGCCUAAUACAUGCAAGUCGAGCGAACAGACGAAGUGCUUGCACUUCUGACGUUAGCGGCGAACGGGUGAGUAACACGUAAGGAAUCUACCUAUAAGCGGGGGAUAACAUUCGGAAACGGGUGCUAAUACCGCAUAAUAUCUUCUUCCGCAUGGAAGAAGAUUGAAAGACGGCUCUGCUGUCACUUAUAGGUGACCUUGCGGUGCAUUAGUUAGUUGGUGGGGUAACGGCCUACCAAGACGAUGAUGCAUAGCCGACCUGAGAGGGUGAUCGGCCACAUUGGGACUGAGACACGGCCCAAACUCCUACGGGAGGCAACAGUAGGGAAUCUUCCGCAAUGGGCGAAAGCCUGACGGAGCAAUGCCGCGUGAGUGAAGAAGGCCUUCGGGUCGUAAAACUCUGUUAUAAGAGAAGAACAAAUUGUAGAGUAACUGCUACAGUCUUGACGGUAUCUUAUCAGAAAGCCACGGCUAACUACGUGCCAGCAGCCGCGGUAA